RNAcentral lists this small RNA (127 nucleotides) under Marmota monax (woodchuck). The record is from RNAcentral. Lineage: Eukaryota; Metazoa; Chordata; Mammalia; Rodentia; Sciuridae.
GCCAGGCAUGGUGAUGCACGCCUGUAAUCCCAGUGGCUUGGGAGGCACUGAGGCAGGAGGAUUGUGAGUUCAAAGCUAGCCUCAGCAAUAGUGAGGCACUAAGCAACUCAGUGAGACCCUGUCUCUA